This 512-nucleotide unclassified non-coding RNA is filed under the name Hevea brasiliensis (rubber tree). The record is from RNAcentral. Lineage: Eukaryota; Viridiplantae; Streptophyta; Magnoliopsida; Malpighiales; Euphorbiaceae.
GAGGGGGUUGAGCUUGUGGGACUGAAGCCUAAACCACAGAGCAUAAAGGCACAACAGAAGCCUUAAAAAAGAAAUUGUUUAUUACUCUUUAUUUAUAGAAGAAGAAGACCCAUAUAAAUACCAACCCAAUGGCAUGCAAUGCAAGAACAUUUCAUUGCCUAAUUCAAACAUUGUAAAUUAAUGGAAAUUUGGGAACCAGCUGGCUGGCCAUCUCUCUCGUUUUGUAAACAAUAUUUGACACAGCACAUGAAACGGGUUAGUUUGACGCUCAAGAAAUUUGGACCUGCUAGAGUAGGUAAGGAUUAUAAAAUAUUCAGCAUGUCAUUUGUUUCAAUCGAUAGCCAACAAAGAAAUUAGUAGACGUCAAUUUCUUCAAACGUAGCCAUAAACACUGAUUAGAACUCAGAAUCGGUGGAAAAGUGCUUACGGCGCCUGAACCCUUUUACGUUUUUUGACCUACAAGCUCUUGCAUGCUUAAUAAACAAAAAAAAUAAAGAAAAGGUGAAUACCUC